AUUCUCCACAGAAUCCUGAAAGGAUUCUCCACAGAAUCCUGAAAGGAUUCUCCACAGAAUCCUGAAAGGAUUCUCCACAGAAUCCUGAAAGGAUUCUCCACAGAAUCCUGAAAGGAUUCUCCACAGAAUCCUGAAAGGAUUCUCCACAGAAUCCUGAAAGGAUUCUCCACAGAAUCCUGAAAGGAUUCUCCACAGAAUCCUGAAAGGAUUCUCCACAGAAUCCUGAAAGGAUUCUCCACAGAAUCCUGAAAGGAUUCUCCACAGAAUCCUGAAAGGAUUCUCCACAGAAUCCUGAAAGGAUUCUCCACAGAAUCCUGAAAGGAUUCUCCACAGAAUCCUGAAAGGAUUCUCCACAGAAUCCUGAAAGGAUUCUCCACAGAAUCCUGAAAGGAUUCUCCACAGAAUCCUGAAAGGAUUCUCCACAGAAUCCUGAAAGGAUUCUCCACAGAAUCCUGAAAGGAUUCUCCACAGAAUCCUGAAAGGAUUCUCCACAGAAUCCUGAAAGGAUUCUCCACAGAAUCCUGAAAGGAUUCUCCACAGAAUCCUGAAAGGAUUCUCCACAGAAUCCUGAAAGGAUUCUCCACAGAAUCCUGACAGGAUUCUCCACAGAAUCCUGACAGGAUUCUCCACAGAAUCCUUAAGGGAUGCUCCACAGAAUCCUGAAAGAAUUCUCCACAGAAACCUGAAAGGAUUCUCCACAGAAUCCUGAGAGAAUUCUCUACCGAAUCUUGGGAGGAUUCUCCACAGAAUCUUGGGAGGAUUCUUCACAGAAUCCUGAGAGGAUCUCUAAAGAAGGUAGAACUGGAUAUACUUUUAAUCAUUACACAUUAAAAGUGAUGCUUUUUAGGCGGUUUUUGAUAACAUUUUCAUACGAUCUCUGUUGUAGAAUGGUAAACAAACGAAGCAGGGUUGCUCAUAACACCACGCGGACACGGCUAUAAGACUCAUCUGAAUUGGUAACAAAGGUUGAAGAGAAAGGAUCACAAUAGCAUGAAACACGUACGGCACGGCAGAGUUGAAUGGAAAUAAGAUUUCACUCUUAAAGAUACCUGCCAUGCCAAAAUUGCUAUGUUAGGUACAAUACCCUUCACUAUAUCAAUUGCUGAGUGUUUUCUAUCCAGAGUCGAUACAGGUAAGCAGCCGGUGCUUUAGGAACUACAUUACAAACAUAUCGCUAGUUAUUUAUUGCAAUGUGCUUACCGCCAUAUCCACAUAUACAUAACAAAAAAACGCAUCGCAGUUGAACGAACAUUUAUAAUAGAGUCAACAUUUGUAUACCUGGAUUCAACUGAGGCGAUUCGUGUACUGCUAUUGAUCAAUACCCCAAAUAGAGGAAACCAAAGUGCGCAAACAGUAAAAAGGAAAGUGUCACCACCCGAGUACAAUUCUGCGAUGAGCAUCGAAGUUUUCCCAAUCCACGAUCUUCCGGAAGAAGUGCUGGAGCACAUACUAUCGUUUCUUCCACUGUCGGAUCGCAGAUCAGCUUCACUAGUAUGCAAAAAUUGGGGAAGGUUGGCGUUCUGUCGUCGAUUCUUGCACCAAGUGGCGCUCAAAA
This is a long non-coding RNA of Aedes albopictus (Asian tiger mosquito), 1555 nucleotides long. RefSeq lists it as uncharacterized. The record is from RefSeq and is a predicted model, not a curated record. NCBI's taxonomy places the organism in Eukaryota, Metazoa, Arthropoda, Insecta, Diptera, Culicidae. The transcript is spliced from 2 exons.